UCUAUGGAAGUUUAGAGCACUUUUACAAUUACGAAGUCUGGAAUGUAUAAUCUGAAAUUUACGUUCUCCAUAGUAACAUCUUACUGACAUCAAUAAAUACAAAAAUAUGACUAAGUCGAAAGUCAACAAGACGGUAUACAAGCCAAAAUGCAAGUCGAAAAUAAGAAAUUAGGAAAAAAACGAGGGGCGCUAUUAUCGCAGUGUAUUAUUUCUUGAUUUCCUAUUUUCGAGUCGAUUUUGGCUUGUAUAGCGUUGCUGUCGCCUCACAUUUUGUCGUAACUGCUACUUUUCGACUUUCGUGUUUUGGAGGGCGAAAAGUAGAAAUUAAGAAUGGUAGGCUUCUAUAGUUAGGCGUUUGUAUAUAUGACUGUAUACUUGACACAUGUACGACCUGAAUGGCUGAAUGGCCGGUAACCAAAUAUGUUAUUGUGAGUGUUAAACGACAUCGUAAUUAUUUUAUAUUUUGCAAAAAAAACAAACAACAAAAAACAAAACAAAAAAACACAAGCCGUGAUUGCCAUUACUACAAUACGGAUUACUAAAUAUACUUUGUGUUCAAUUUUAUAUUUUAAUACUGAAGACAGGGCCGGACUAUAAAUGAACAAGGCGGAUCCUUUUGGCUUAUAUUGAGUAAUUAUUGCAACGUGUUACAGUUGAAAGUUCCAAAGCAUUUUCACAUUCCAUGUCCGAUAAAUUUAAUCAUCAUGCAACUACUGAUUGGUGGGUCGUCGAAACAUUUAGAUGCAUACAUCACAGCAAUAGAGAAAUAGGUCAAAUAUGGCGACAAUGAUCAACUUGCUCUUCUUCUACUAAAUUAAAGAUUCGUGUGGAGAUUCUGUCGAUAUAAUCAUAUAUUUAUAUCUGCUCUUUCUUAAAAUGGAGACGGUGCCAGGGCAAUGUUUCAUAGAGUGGAAUGAUUGACCUCAACACAAGUAUUAAAAAAAAAGAAGCAAAACAGGUCUACAUCUCAAAACCUGAUCUCUUCCUGGACUGGCUUUAGGAGAACGAUGAUGCAUAUCAAUUUCAUCCCUGAUCUCUAUGACACCUGUGGUGGAAGUGGAGGGCAAAUCGUAAUCAGUUUGGGUUCCAGCCCCGAGGACCUCUGUAAACUUUGCUUUUUGGUGAUGACUUAAUUUCCGAGCUUGAAAAGGACGCUUGUGUGUUUAUCAUGGCCUCUCAUAUUGGACGAUAACAUUAAUGGCUUGUGUGUUGAUCGACGAUUGUGCAUAUCUCUUGGUCAGGAAAGUUGUAGGCACCAUCGCCAUUGUAAAUCAUUUGACAGGCCCGAGUGAACCUAUGAUUGGUCAGCAAUGUAUCAGAUUCCAUACCGGGGGGUGGGGAUGAAAAAACUGUUGUAGUGUUACAUAAUCAGAUUAUUUCAACUUACUUAUCCUGUGGAAAUACAGCUAUAUAGGAGAUAUUUUGAAAUUCAUAGGCACUGCAUGUUUCAACAUUUUAGAUUUGACCACAAUCUGGCACUUGAAACUAUGUUAACAGAGAAAAACUGUGUGGUUUUCGAUGAAAGUGUUAAAAGUCUAAUAUUGCAUCAUGAUUACUGUUUUAAAGUGCCAGGGCAAUGUUUCAUAGAGUGGAAUGAUUGACCUCAACACAAGUAUUAAAAAAAAAAGAAGCAAAACAGGUCUACAUCUCAAAACCUGAUCUCUUCCUGGACUGGCUUUAGGAGAACGAUGAUGCAUAUCAAUUUCAUCCCUGAUCUCUAUGACACCUGUGGUGGAAGUGGAGGGCAAAUCGUAAUCAGUUUGGGUUCCAGCCCCGAGGACCUCUGUAAACUUUGCUUUUUGGUGAUGACUUAAUUUCCGAGCUUGAAAAGGACGCUUGUGUGUUUAUCAUGGCCUCUCAUAUUGGAAGAUAACAUUAAUGGCUUGUGUGUUGAUCGACGGUUGUGCAUAUCUCUUGGUCAGGAAAGUUGUAAGCACCAUCGCCAUUGUAAAUCAUUUGACAGGCCCGAGUGAACGGGGCGACCUAUGAUUGGUCAGCAAUGUAUCAGAUUCCAUACCGGGGGAGGGGGAUGAAAAAAAAUGUUGUAGUGUUACAUAAUCAGAUUAUUUCAACUUACUUAUCCUGUGGAAAUACAGCUAUAUAGGAGAUAUUUUGAAAUUCAUAGGCACUGCAUGUUUCAACAUUUUAGAUUUGACCACAAUUUGGCACUUGAAACUAUGUUAACAGAGAAAAACUGUGUGGUUUUCGAUGAAAGUGUUAAAAGUCUAAUAUUGCAUCAUGAUUACUGUUUUAAAGUAUUUUCCUGUUUGAUUUAUAUUGAAUUCAUCUCAUCUUUUUGAAGAAUGCAUUUAUGUUCAAAAAUAAAAAUGUUCUGUGGAAUUCAAAAUUCAUGUGCUUUUAAAUUAUCAGAUUCCAAACUGGGGGGUAGGGAUGAAAAAGCUGUUGUAGUGUUACAUAAUCAGAUUAUUUCAACUUACUUAUCCUAUGGAAAUACAGCUAUAUAGGAGAUAUUUUAAAAUUGAUAGGCACUGCAUGUUUCAACAUUUUAGAUUUGACCACAAUUUGGCACUUGAAACUACGUUAACAGAGAAAAACUGUGUGGUUUUCGAUGAAAGUGUUAAAAAGUCUAAUAUUGCAUCAUGAUUACUGUUUUAAAGUAUUUUCGUGUUUGAUUUAUAUUGAAUUGUAUUUAGAAAACGGAGGAAACCGAAUGACCCAGCGAAAAAACUCAAGAGAUUGGACAGGCGACUCUACUCCUUGAAAUUGAAACCAUGCCACUUAACACAAUGACAGACCCUGUGAUUUCAUGCGCAUGCAUUACCUACUAGACCAUUCCCCCCAGCCCCACCCCAUAUCGAAUAAAAUUUCAAUAUUGGAUGUAUAUGCAAAUCACCCAGAAAAAGAUCAUGUAAUAACAAAAGAAAUUAUAAAAGAAAAAAAGGAAGAAGAAAUGGCUGGAAAAAAUGAUGAUAGAGCAGCUUUUUCUUGUUACCCACCUCGGAAGAUCAAGUUGGAAAGGGCUAUUGAUAUUGUGGAGACGUUUUCUCACAGAUCUUGCUUAUCAGACAAAGACUAUGCUGGAACACCAUUGAAAGAGUAUUUGCUGUAUGAUAACAACAAGAAAACCCAAGCAUCAAUUUAUUUUAUACUUCUGGGAAAGAAUGCAUUUGACCCAAUUUUUAAAUAUUUAUUUUUUGUUAUUAAUGUUAAAUUUUCUUCCAAAACACAAUUAGAUUUUAAUUCUCUUCAGAAAUGUAUGUAUAAUAUAGCAAGUAAAGUGUCAUAUAAAUCACUUAGAAUUUGGUCAGAAAUCAUAAAGUAUUUAAUAGGCAUUACUAGAAACCAAAUGUAGAUCAAAUACACCCAGAAUUACAAAAAACCUUGACCUACAUAAAGGUGACUUUCCCUUGCUUAUGAAAUGAAAUACGGUUUAGUAUCCUACUUUUCUGUGUUCUUAGAGUGAUUCUGCCCUACACCCUACUCUUAUAUCAAAUAUUUCAACUGUCAAGGGUUCUUUAACGGGAACCCGGGGGGGGGGGCAAUGAUUAACACGCACACAUUUGAUCGGGAAAUCUGUCAUU
Long non-coding RNA from Patella vulgata (common limpet), 3542 nucleotides. RefSeq lists it as uncharacterized. The record is from RefSeq and is a predicted model, not a curated record. NCBI's taxonomy places the organism in Eukaryota, Metazoa, Mollusca, Gastropoda, Patellidae. The transcript is spliced from 8 exons.